This 496-nucleotide ribosomal RNA is filed under the name uncultured bacterium. Its description in RNAcentral is "partial 16S ribosomal RNA". It matches the Rfam family "Bacterial small subunit ribosomal RNA", at positions 29 to 507 of the family's 1533-position model. The record is from RNAcentral.
AUGAACGCUGGCGGCGUGCCUAAUACAUGCAAGUCGAGCGAACAGAUGAGGAGCUUGCUCCUCUGACGUUAGCGGCGGACGGGUGAGUAACACGUGGAUAACCUACCUAUAAGACUGGGAUAACUUCGGGAAACCGGAGCUAAUACCGGAUAAUAUAUUGAACCGCAUGGUUCAAUAGUGAAAGACGGUUUUGCUGUCACUUAUAGAUGGAUCCGCGCCGCAUUAGCUAGUUGGUAAGGUAACGGCUUACCAAGGCAACGAUGCGUAGCCGACCUGAGAGGGUGAUCGGCCACACUGGAACUGAGACACGGUCCAGACUCCUACGGGAGGCAGCAGUAGGGAAUCUUCCGCAAUGGGCGAAAGCCUGACGGAGCAACGCCGCAUGAGUGAUGAAGGUCUUCGGAUCGUAAAACUCUGUUAUUAGGGAAGAACAAAUGUGUAAGUAACUAUGCACGUCUUGACGGUACCUAAUCAGAAAGCCACGGCUAACUACGUG